Molecule: long non-coding RNA, 1751 nt
Organism: Dreissena polymorpha
Lineage: Eukaryota; Metazoa; Mollusca; Bivalvia; Myida; Dreissenidae
Exons: 3
Source: RefSeq, a predicted model, not a curated record
AUCAUUACACCGGGGAUGAACAACUUUUGUCACGUGACCGCAAAAGUCAACGCCGGUUGCAGAAACAGAUUGUAAUCUUGUACAUUAAGAAACAUGACGCUCGUGUGUGAAAUCUGUGGAAAGACAUUUAAAUCGAAGUGGGGGUUAAAGCUUCAUGAUAAGCGCCACAGAGGGACUGGACGAUUCGCCUGUUGUGGAAAAACAUUUUACACAAAACAGGCGUUCAACAGACACAGAUGCAGCAUUCAUGGUGUUGAAAAGCCGUUCCCCUGUGAACAAUGCGGCAAAAAGUUUUCAACCAAAGAUGACCUGAAUCGUCACGUCCGGAGGGAGGUUGCUGCAAAGCAAUUUACCUGCUCAAUUUGCAAUGCAACGCUCCGGGAGAAAAUUGACCUUCAGGCCCACCUUGCCACCCACAAUGGAGAGAAAAACUUUGCUUGUGAUAUGUGUGAAAAGAGGUACAGGCACCGCAGUAGUCUAUCAAAGCACAGAUCUGCAAAGCACCGGGCCUAGUCAUCUGUUGCAUGACGAUGAUAAGACCAAGAAUUAUUUUUAAUUCUUACCAAUGUGCCGUGGUUAUUUUCUUAAUUAUUGAAAAUACAGACUGUCAUACAAUAAUAUAUAGUAUUACGCGUGUUUUUGCGUCUUAAACAUUGUGUUUCAUAUCGUUUAUCUUGUGUUGUUUUGUUUGAUAUUCCUGUUUUUAAUAAGAUUAUUGUUGUAAUAUUUAUCAUUCUAAUUUAAAAUGAUUAUGAUAAUGGUUGAUCUCAUACAAAUUAUUGUGUUCAUUAUUGCUCAUCUGUGAUUACUGUUGAUCUCAGCCCAUGAAUUGUGAUUUAUAUUGAUUAUCUGUGAUUAUUGUUGAUCUUAUCAAAAUAAUUGUAAUUUAUGUUGAUUAUCUUUGAAUUUUUUAUCUUAACCUAUUAAUAGUGAUUUAUAUUAUCUGUGAUUAUUGUUGAUCUUAUCAAAAUCAUUGUGAUUUAUGUUGAUUAUCUGUGAUUAUUGUUGAUCUCAACCGAUUAAUUGUGAUUUAUAUAACCAGUGAUUAUUGUUGAUCUUAUCAAAAUCAUUGUAAUUUAUGUUGAUUAUCUGUGAUUAUUGUUGAUCUUUUCGAAAUCAUUGUAAUUUAUGUUGAUUAUCUGUGAUUAUUGUUGAUCUUUUCGAAAUCAUUGUAAUUUAUGUUGAUUAUCUGUGAUUAUUGUUGAUCUUUUCAAAAUCAUUGUAAUUUAUGUUGAUUAUCUGUGAUUAUUGUUGAUCUCACCAUAUCCGCUGGAAUAUACAUUUGAGCCGCGCUCUGUGAAAAGGGGGUUUAAUGCAUGUGCGUAAAGUGCAGUCCACAUAGGCUAAUCAGGGACGGCACUUUCCGCUUUUAUGAUAUGUUUUGUUAAAAGAAAGUCUCUUCUGAGCAAAAAUCGAGUUUAUCGGAAAGGUUUGUCCCUAAUUAGCCUGUACGGAAUGCACAGGCUAAUAUGUGACGACACCUUACGCACAUGCAUUAAACCCCCUUUUCACAGAGCGAGACUCAUUUGUAAUCUGCGAUUUUUGUUUAUCUAUUUCGAAUCAAUAUGAUUAAAAUAUAUUUUUGGUGAGUUAGCUUUUUGUCUCAUUGGAAUCAUUGUGCGAAUUGUCAACAAUUACAUGUAAAUCUGUAAUUCCUUCUCAAGUUGCACAUAGGCCAGUUUAAUGUUUUGCGUAUAAGCUAUUAUUGCGAUACGGGAUAUUCUUUGCAGCAAUAAAACAAUUAAUCUGCA